This 567-nucleotide long non-coding RNA is filed under the name Elaeis guineensis (African oil palm). RNAcentral describes it as "long non-coding RNA (EGUI_LNC047213)". The record is from RNAcentral. Lineage: Eukaryota; Viridiplantae; Streptophyta; Magnoliopsida; Arecales; Arecaceae.
GUCCUAACAACCAACCUUUGAUUGUUUGUAAGGAAGAAGGGAUAAGAACCAUACCUCACGCCCCUCUUUUCCAUGCACUCCCCUCCUUUUCUUCUAUUUUUCUUACGCAUCUCCUUUGGUUUUUGGCAUCCAUAAACUGAUCACAUCAGGUUAGCCAAUGCCCUAUAAGGUCUCUUGUUUAAAUAGAGAGAGGAUAUUGAAUUUGGGUAGGAGAAAAGAGUCCAAACUCCUUUGGACUUUAGAAAUUUUAUGCUGCACACAUCCCUUUAUUUUGUGUGCCCUAUAUCACAUGGAAAUAAGAGAGAUUCCAUGGAUUAUUACAUGCUAAAAAGGGAGAGGAGGCAUGGAAAAAUAUGGCAUCCAAUUUGGUUGGCGUGGGGCUUUCUUAUGCGCAUGGAGAGGAGGAGUUUCAAUCUCAUGGGACUCUUCUUUUAAGUGACUGAUUGAAAUCAAUUUAAAUUAUAACCAAUUCUAAUCAUAUUAAAAAUUAAUUAAAUCCAAAUAGAUAAAAAUUUAAAUCUAAUUUGAAGCUUAAACUAUUUAGAUUAGGUGUCACCUAAUUAGAGA